UUGGAGGGCAAGUCUGGUGCCAGCAGCCGCGGUAAUUCCAGCUCCAAUAGCGUAUAUUAAAGUUGUUGCAGUUAAAAAGCUCGUAGUUGAAUUUCGGGAUCAAUAUUUCGGUCAUGCCGUUGGUAUGCACUGUUAUCAUUGAUUCCUCACCUUCUAAAGAACCGUAAUGCCAUUAAUUUGGUGUUACGGGGAAUUAGGACUGUUACCUUGAAAAAAUUAGAGUGUUUAAAGCAGGCUCACGCUUGAAUACAUUAGCAUGGAAUAAUGAAAUAGGACAUCCGAUUCUAUUUUGUUGGUUUCUAGGAUCGAUGUAAUGAUUAAUAGGGAUAGUUGGGGGCAUUAGUAUUCAAUUGUCAGAGGUGAAAUUCUUGGAUUUAUUGAAGACUAACUACUGCGAAAGCAUUUGCCAAGGAUGUUUUCAUUAAUCAAGAACGAAAGUUAGGGGAUCGAAGACGAUCAGAUACCGUCGUAGUCUUAACCAUAAACUAUGCCGACUAGGGAUCGGAUGAUGUUAAUUUUUUAAUGACUCAUUCGGCGCCUUACGGGAAACCAAAGUGUUUGGGUUC
RNAcentral lists this ribosomal RNA (566 nucleotides) under Funneliformis mosseae. RNAcentral's name for it is "SSU rRNA". It matches the Rfam family "Eukaryotic small subunit ribosomal RNA", at positions 548 to 1114 of the family's 1831-position model. The record is from RNAcentral. Lineage: Eukaryota; Fungi; Glomeromycota; Glomeromycetes; Glomerales; Glomeraceae.